This is a long non-coding RNA of Ictalurus punctatus (channel catfish), 926 nucleotides long. The record is from Ensembl. NCBI's taxonomy places the organism in Eukaryota, Metazoa, Chordata, Actinopteri, Siluriformes, Ictaluridae.
GGCAGUACAUGCCAUGUUUACUGUUGUUAUUGUAGAUACUUCAGUGAGGUUCUCCCUUGACCUACUAUUAUGCAUGAUGUUGAGAAAUGCUGUGUACCAUAUAACAGACAAAAGAAAAUCAGUUUUGACUGAUCCACAAAUCCAGUUAUAGUAUAAACUGGAUCUGAAUACGUUUAAGUAAAAUGGCAAGGUUUUUUGUUUCUGGCUUUCAGACUAGAGGUGUACAUCGGGAAUGAGAUCCUGUGGGACCAAAUAAAAAAGUUGUGGGAGCAGGCAUAGAGGUUUGACUUUCAUGCAGGUGGGAGCAGGCAGUCAGAUAUGAAUUCCUUCAAGUGUGGGUCAGAAUUCCUUCGAGAGCAAAUUGGGUUUGGUCAGAAUCCCUUUAAGAGCGAGUAGGGUAUGGUCAGACUUCCUUCAGGAGAAUACAGGUUUGGUCAGGAUUACUCUAAGAGUAUGGGGGUUUAUCAGAAUUCCUUUUUAUGGGCGAGUAGGGUUUGGUCAGACUUCCUUUGGGAGAGUACAGGUUUGGUCAGGAUUACUCUAAGAGUAUGGGGGUUGAUCAGAAUUCCUUUAAGGGCGAGUAGGGUUUGGUCAGACUUCCUUUGGGAGAGUACAGGUUUGGUCAGGAUUACUCUGGGAGUAUGGGGGUUGAUCAGAAUUCCUUUAAGGGCUAGUAGGUUUUGGUCAGACUUCCUUUGGGAGAGUACAGGUUUGGUCAGGAUUACUCUAAGAGUAUGGGGGUUGAUCAGAAUCCCUUUAAGAGCGAAUAGGGUUUGGUCAGACUUCCUUUGGAAGAGUACAUGUUUGGUCAGGAUUAUUCUGGGAGUAUGGGGUUGAUCAGAAUUCCUUUGAGAGUGGUAGGGUUUGGUCAGUAUUCCUUUGAAAGCAGGUAGGAUUUGGUCAGAACAGAGAAAAUUGAAUAUGCC